UGGACUUCUAGUCUCCAGAACCGAGCAGGGCUCUCUGUGGGGACUGGCGGUGGACCUGUGGGAGAGAGCAUCAUGCCUGGAGGGGCACCCGGGCUGUGUGGGCCCCCUGGUCCCUCAUUCUACGUCAUCUCCCUGGGGGACCACAGGUCAGCUUAUUAAAGUCACUGAGAAGUACAGAAUUAUUUUGAACUUGGUGUACCAGUUUCCCCAAGCUGCCGUAACAAAGUACCACAAACUGCGUGGUUUAGAACAGCAGAAAUGUCUUCUCUCCCGGUUCUGGAGGCUGGAAGUCCCCAGAUCAAGGUGUCAGUAGGGCUGUGCUCCCUGUGAAACCCACAGGGGAGGAUCCUUCCCGCCUCUUCCAGCUUCUGGUACUGCUGGCAUCCUUGGUGGUCUUCGGCAGCUGCAGCCCUUCAGUCUCUGCCUCGUGGUCGUCUUCUCCCUGUGUGAGCCUCUCUCCUCUUCUUAUAAGGACACCAGUCGGAUUGGAUUAAGGCCCUACCCUGCUCCAGAAUGACCUCAUCUUAAACUAAUUGCGUCAACAAGCCUAUUUCCAAAUAAGGUCACAUUCUGAGGCACUGGGGGUUGGGAUCUCCAUGCAUCUUUUGGGGACAAUUCAACCCAUAACUCUUUUGUUUAGCCCAGAAUUUCCACUGAACUUAUUUUUUUUCCUCC
Molecule: long non-coding RNA, 675 nt
Organism: Eubalaena glacialis (North Atlantic right whale)
Lineage: Eukaryota; Metazoa; Chordata; Mammalia; Artiodactyla; Balaenidae
Exons: 3
Source: RefSeq, a predicted model, not a curated record